This 845-nucleotide ribosomal RNA is filed under the name Acidobacteriota bacterium. RNAcentral's name for it is "bacterial SSU rRNA". It matches the Rfam family "Bacterial small subunit ribosomal RNA", at positions 1 to 823 of the family's 1533-position model. The record is from RNAcentral. Lineage: Bacteria; Pseudomonadati; Acidobacteriota.
UUUAACUUGAGAGUUUGAUCCUGGCUCAGAAUCAACGCUGGCGGCGUGCCUAAUACAUGCAAGUCGUACGCGAAAGCGGCCUUCGGGCCGUGAGUAGAGUGGCAAACGGGUGAGUAACGCGUGGGUGACCUGCCUUCGAGUGGGGGAUAACUCUCCGAAAGGAGAGCUAAUACCGCAUAAUAUCCCGCCCUUGGAUGGGUGGAGAUCAAAGCCGGGGAUCGCAAGACCUGGUGCUUGAAGAGGGACCCGCGUCCGAUUAGCUUGUUGGUGGGGUAGUGGCCUACCAAGGCUUCGAUCGGUAGCCGGCCUGAGAGGGCGGACGGCCACACUGGGACUGAGACACGGCCCAGACUCCUACGGGAGGCAGCAGUGAGGAAUUGUUCGCAAUGGGCGCAAGCCUGACGACGCAAUGCCGCGUGGAGGAUGAAGGACCUCGGUUCGUAAACUCCUUUCGAUCGGGACGAAUACCCUUAACCUAAUACGUUAAGGUUUGACGGUACCGGAAUAAGAAGCCCCGGCUAACUCUGUGCCAGCAGCCGCGGUAAUACAGGGGGGGCGAGCGUUGUUCGGAAUUACUGGGCGUAAAGGGCGCGUAGGCGGCCUAUUUAGUCGGACGUGAAAUCCCCGAGCUUAACUCGGGAACUGCGUCCGAUACUGGUGGGCUUGAAUCCGGGAGAGGGAUGUGGAAUUCCAGGUGUAGCGGUGAAAUGCGUAGAUAUCUGGGGGAACACCGGUGGCGAAGGCGACAUCCUGGACCGGUAUUGACGCUGAGGAGCGAAAGCUAGGGUAGCAAACGGGAUUAGAUACCCCGGUAGUCCUGGCCCUAAACGAUGAAUGCUUGGUGU